Molecule: non-coding RNA, 264 nt
Organism: Vicia faba (fava bean)
Lineage: Eukaryota; Viridiplantae; Streptophyta; Magnoliopsida; Fabales; Fabaceae
Source: the annotation of a GenBank genome assembly
AUGAAAAUACCAAAAGAAACUCAAAAGAAAGAUGAUAGUGAUGCUUACAACGACUGGUGUCACGGUGAAGAUUGUUGGCUGGAUGGUGUGUUGGUUGUUGUUCGUGAACGGCGGCGACGACUGAAGAAGAGGGAAGAACGAACAGGAACAGUAACGUCGUCGCUGAAUGGUGUGUUGGUUGUUGUUCGUGAACGGCGGCGACGACUGAAGAAGAGGGAAGAACGAACAGGAACAGUAACGGCGACGGCGAGAAACGAACGGUAA